RNAcentral lists this ribosomal RNA (676 nucleotides) under Chryseobacterium sp. S61.04.P.RBT.H.Brain.M. RNAcentral's name for it is "bacterial SSU rRNA". It matches the Rfam family "Bacterial small subunit ribosomal RNA", at positions 76 to 752 of the family's 1533-position model. The record is from RNAcentral. Lineage: Bacteria; Pseudomonadati; Bacteroidota; Flavobacteriia; Flavobacteriales; Weeksellaceae.
UCUUUCGGGAUCUUGAGAGCGGCGUACGGGUGCGGAACACGUGUGCAACCUGCCUUUAUCAGGGGGAUAGCCUUUCGAAAGGAAGAUUAAUACCCCAUAAUAUAUUGAAUGGCAUCAUUUGAUAUUGAAAACUCCGGUGGAUAGAGAUGGGCACGCGCAAGAUUAGAUAGUUGGUAGGGUAACGGCCUACCAAGUCAGUGAUCUUUAGGGGGCCUGAGAGGGUGAUCCCCCACACUGGUACUGAGACACGGACCAGACUCCUACGGGAGGCAGCAGUGAGGAAUAUUGGACAAUGGGUGAGAGCCUGAUCCAGCCAUCCCGCGUGAAGGACGACGGCCCUAUGGGUUGUAAACUUCUUUUGUAUAGGGAUAAACCUUUCCACGUGUGGAAAGCUGAAGGUACUAUACGAAUAAGCACCGGCUAACUCCGUGCCAGCAGCCGCGGUAAUACGGAGGGUGCAAGCGUUAUCCGGAUUUAUUGGGUUUAAAGGGUCCGUAGGCGGAUCUGUAAGUCAGUGGUGAAAUCUCAUAGCUUAACUAUGAAACUGCCAUUGAUACUGCAGGUCUUGAGUAAAGUAGAAGUGGCUGGAAUAAGUAGUGUAGCGGUGAAAUGCAUAGAUAUUACUUAGAACACCAAUUGCGAAGGCAGGUCACUAUGUUUUAACUGACGCUGAUGG